This is a non-coding RNA of Pelobates cultripes (western spadefoot toad), 244 nucleotides long. The record is from the annotation of a GenBank genome assembly. Lineage: Eukaryota; Metazoa; Chordata; Amphibia; Anura; Pelobatidae.
CUUACUCUGGGAGACCAUAAGGUUUCCUAAAGAGAUGGGUUUUAAGGUACUUCUUGAGAAGAUUGAAGACUAGGGGACAGUCUGAUGGCGGUAGGCAGGCUAUUCCAUAGGAAGGAAGCCAUCCACGAGAAGUCCUGCAAGUGUCAGUUGGCCGUAUGGGUGCGAGCAGAGGACAGGAGAAGGUCAUGGGCAGAGCGGAGACACCAAGAAGGGGCAUACCUAUGGAUCUGUGAGGAGAUAUAAG